RNAcentral lists this ribosomal RNA (460 nucleotides) under uncultured bacterium. Its description in RNAcentral is "partial 16S ribosomal RNA". It matches the Rfam family "Bacterial small subunit ribosomal RNA", at positions 338 to 795 of the family's 1533-position model. The record is from RNAcentral.
CCUACGGGAGACAGCAGUGAGGAAUAUUGGUCAAUGGGCGUAAGCCUGAACCAGCCAAGUCGCGUGAGGGAUGAAGGUUCUAUGGAUCGUAAACCUCUUUUAUAAGGGAAUAAAGUGUGGGACGUGUCCUGUUUUGUAUGUACCUUAUGAAUAAGGAUCGGCUAACUCCGUGCCAGCCGCCGCGGUAAUACGGAGGAUCCGAGCGUUAUCCGGAUUUAUUGGGUUUAAAGGGUGCGUAGGCGGGCUUGUAAGUCAGCGGGGAAAGGCCGUGGCCCAAACAUCGAAUGGCCGUUGAAACUGGGAGGCUUGAGAAUGUGUGAGGCAGGCGGAAUGCGUGGUGUAGCGGUGAAAUGCUUAGAUAUCACGCAGAACCCCGAUUGCGAAGGCAGCCUGCCAAGCCAUGACUGACGCUGAUGCACGAAAGCGUGGGGAUCAAACAGGAUUAGAUACCCGGGUAGUC